RNAcentral lists this long non-coding RNA (435 nucleotides) under Homo sapiens (human). RNAcentral describes it as "non-protein coding lnc-ENPP5-2:8". Lineage: Eukaryota; Metazoa; Chordata; Mammalia; Primates; Hominidae. The record is from RNAcentral.
CCCAGCUUAGUGUCAGGAUACUUUCGAUUCAUAAUUAUGUAUGAUCCAAAGUGUGCAUAAUUUCAUUUAACGUUAAAGAAAUAGAUCCAAUUCCUUUCUUGCAACCAAAAAUAAAUAAAAUACGUUGCCUCAAUAUAAGGUUUGGGCUAUUCUGUGUUUCUAUAGAAGCAAUCUGUUUUUGGUAAAAUGUACUUUUAAGGAUCCAGUCAUCUGAAGUAUUUUAUGUAGAGUUAGAGAUUUCACAAUAUUGACUAUACAUAUAUUUAAAAUAUAAAUUAUCCAGCUGAUGUUUGAAUUUGUCUUACUUUCCUGGCCACCUCGUUGUCCUAUUUUAUAAGCUGGGGAGUUAACUAGCUUAACAAAAGAUGCUUAGCUUUUGUAAAAGAACAAGUGUUUCAUUUUACAAAGACACUCCAAAUGAUAGUUACUUGAUUU